AAUGAACGUUGGCGGCGUGGAUUAGGCAUGCAAGUCGAGCGAGAAUUCCCCGCAAGGGGAAGGACAGCGGCGAAAGGGAGAGAACAGCGUAGUUACCUACCCUCAGGACUGGGAUAGCUCCGGGAAACCGGUGGUAAUACCAGAUAACGUCUUUGGACCAAAGGUGUGAUUCCGCCUGAGGAGGGGACUGCGUCCUAUUAGCUAGUUGGCGAGGUAACGGCUCACCAAGGCAAUGAUGGGUACGGGGUGUGAGAGCAUGCCCCCGCUCACUGGGACUGAGACACUGCCCAGACACCUACGGGUGGCUGCAGUCGAGGAUCUUCGGCAAUGGGCGCAAGCCUGACCGAGCGACGCCGCGUGCGGGAUGAAGGCCUUCGGGUUGUAAACCGCCGUCGGAGUGGAGGAAAUUCCAGGGGGUUCUCCCCUUGGAUUGACUAAUACUCAGAGGAAGGACGGGCUAAGUUCGUGCCAGCAGCCGCGGUAA
RNAcentral lists this ribosomal RNA (484 nucleotides) under uncultured bacterium. Its description in RNAcentral is "partial 16S ribosomal RNA". It matches the Rfam family "Bacterial small subunit ribosomal RNA", at positions 29 to 523 of the family's 1533-position model. The record is from RNAcentral.